AGAUUCUCCGGUUCGGCGUGGAGGACACGAAGGAGGGCGAGGGAGGGACGUUGUCCUCCAGUUCACGGCUGUCGAGCAGAGAAGUGGGGCCGGUGUGGACACCCUGCCGUUCUCUAAUGGAGAUCUGCUUCGAGUGUUGCGUUUUUCUGAUGUUUCCGGUGUCCUACAGGAGGGCGUGUGGCUGAACAAUGAGGACAGACCGCUCUACACUCUGCGUCUUCGUGUAGACCCUGCUGGGCACGCAGACCCCUUGAUAGGAACUGUACAUCGGAGCGACAUUUCUGUGAAACGAAACAGAUGCACCGACCACACGGAACCGAUCCUGUUUACCUUGCCCGCUGUUACGAGGACCGCGGCUUGCGGGGCAACAUAUAAACACGUUCUCUGCUCUGACCUUCUGUAUUAGAGAAGAGCCGCAUGGAGGGCUGAAGACGUCCUGAGCACCCGAGCACGAGAACACCUCAGCAUCAGAGAUCAGGGAGAAGAGCCACGUUUCCAUCGGACUGGACGGUCCCCUGCUGUCCACCGGCCUCGGCAUCUCUGCUCUCCAGACAUUUAAAGACACUAUCAACG
This is a non-coding RNA of Puma concolor (puma), 573 nucleotides long. The record is from RefSeq and is a predicted model, not a curated record. Lineage: Eukaryota; Metazoa; Chordata; Mammalia; Carnivora; Felidae.